Long non-coding RNA from Scylla paramamosain (green mud crab), 790 nucleotides. RefSeq lists it as uncharacterized. The record is from RefSeq and is a predicted model, not a curated record. NCBI's taxonomy places the organism in Eukaryota, Metazoa, Arthropoda, Malacostraca, Decapoda, Portunidae. The transcript is spliced from 4 exons.
CCUGAGAGCAAGACCAACUAUCCUGCUGCAUCCUUGGGUAAUCUUGAAGCCUGGGUCCACGAUCUUAUCCAGCAUGUAGAAAGUUUCAUAUCCCGUGUGGUAAUAGGGAAAGAAAACGUCGUAUUUCCGCUGCGUGGGCUCCACGCUGCCCUUGACGGUGCUUAUGACAUUGAAAGAUCUCUGACGCUUGAUGUAGUUGUGUGUGACGAGGCGCAGCUUGUAGUCACCAAUCAACUCAGGUCCAAGGUUGUACGCCACGUUCUUCAGUCCGCCCCGCCACCCCUCAGGCGCCACCCUCCCACCCAUCUUUCUGUACGCCGAGACUCCUGAAACGCUGACGGAGGAGGAAGAGGAGGACGUGACGAGGCGGGAACACACCUACAUGACCACCUCCAUGGCAGCCCCCCCAACUCCCCCAACCCUCAACUACAAGGUGCUGUACUAAGCAGUGACAAUGAACAAUGAACAGUGACAGGACUUAAGAGCAUGUACAGCAGUGUCACCAUGCCCCUUCGUCCUCAGAUGGUGAAAUUACAACAUCUACGUGAAGCUACAGAGACUUGCAUGGCUACCUGGAACGAGGACUUGCCUACUCGCCUGCAUCCAUGGUUCAAGCCCCGCCUUCGUGUCCUGCCGGGUUCUCAGGGGAAGUGACUGGAGCCUACUAGAUCCAAUGAUUCCUGAAGCACCACUCUGCACAUCCCCCACUGAAACACGCGUGCGAAAAGCUGACCUACGUGACACCGAAUGGCAAACACACAGAGACUCACGUGGCACCCAAACAGACCAU